This 228-nucleotide ribosomal RNA is filed under the name uncultured bacterium. RNAcentral's name for it is "partial 16S ribosomal RNA". It matches the Rfam family "Bacterial small subunit ribosomal RNA", at positions 118 to 347 of the family's 1533-position model. The record is from RNAcentral.
UGAGCAAUCUGCCCUUCUCUUCGGAAUAAGCGUUGGAAACGACGUCUAAUGCCGAAUACGACCUCCUUUCGCAUGAUCGGAGGUGGAAAGCUCCGGCGGAGAAGGAUGAGCUCGCGGCCUAUCAGCUUGUUGGUGAGGUAAUGGCUCACCAAGGCGACGACGGGUAGCCGGCCUGAGGAGGGCGAUCGGCCACACUGGGACUGAGAUACGGCCCAGACUCCUAGGGAG